AGAGCUUUCUGCAUUGGAAGUCAAACAAACAGAUGUGAUACAUACAGCAGAGAAGUGCGCAGAGGAAUGUCUCCACGUGUCAGACAGAAGGGGGGUAUUCAGGAAACCUGCCCCCUGCUGCUGCGUCCCAACUACAGACUAACUCGUCAGCUCGCAAAGUAUUCGUGCCGAAUGUGAGGACCAGUAAGGGUGGUGAAUGCGACAACGAUUGAUUGCCAUCAACAAUCUCUUCUUCAUCAUUAACAAUGUAAAUGUGCUUGGAGGAGGCGUUUGACCUCCACCUUCCCCGGUAAUGCCAGAAGGGGGCGAUGUGUCCAACCCAGGAAGUCGGAUUGGAAGGUGGGUACGGAUUUUUCCACCCCGACUGCCUCCUUUGUCCCCUGACACGCUCCGGUGGAAGCAGCAGCAGCAGGAGGACCACAGCGUAGGAGGCGCAGUGGGAGGAAGACGAGGAAUGGGCUAACACCCAAGUUAAAGUGCAC
Long non-coding RNA from Gasterosteus aculeatus aculeatus (three-spined stickleback), 482 nucleotides. Lineage: Eukaryota; Metazoa; Chordata; Actinopteri; Perciformes; Gasterosteidae. The record is from Ensembl.